CAGGGAUUGUGGAAUACCCUCAGGAGGAGAUUUUCCAUGUCUACUCUGGUGCCAUUACUGGAAGAUCCUUCCAUUUUCUACAAGGGAUUUUUACCUAUAUUGUUGAGGAAGUGGAAUCCCCUUUGGUAGCUCUGUACCUUCAGCUUCUCCCUCUGUGGUAUCCAUUCCCUGCCACAACUAUAGAAUCUGCAAUCUGGAUAUCUGAGAGUGACCAAAAGAAGAGAAUAAAUGUCCAGCCUCCUUGUCACAAGGCAGGACAACAUUAUGUUGUUCCUUAGGCUCCAGAGCUC
RNAcentral lists this long non-coding RNA (290 nucleotides) under Homo sapiens (human). Its description in RNAcentral is "HSALNT0037378". The record is from RNAcentral. Lineage: Eukaryota; Metazoa; Chordata; Mammalia; Primates; Hominidae.